GACGAACGCUGGCGGCGUGCUUAACACAUGCAAGUCGAACGGUGAAGCGCCUUCCUUUUUGGUGGGCGUGGAUGAGUGGCGAACGGGUGAGUAACACGUGAGUAACCUGCCCCCUUCUUCUGGAUAACCGCAUGAAAGUGUGGCUAAUACGGGAUAUUCUGGGUCUGUCGCAUGAUGGGUCUGGGAAAGAUAUUGUUUCGGUGGGGGAUGGGCUCGCGGCCUAUCAGCUUGUUGGUGGGGUGAUGGCCUACCAAGGCGGUGACGGGUAGCCGGCCUGAGAGGGUGGACGGUCACACUGGGACUGAGACACGGCCCAGACUCCUACGGGAGGCAGCAGUGGGGAAUAUUGCACAAUGGGCGCAAGCCUGAUGCAGCGACGCCGCGUGAGGGAUGGAGGCCUGCGGGUUGUGAACCUCCUUCGCCAGUGAAGCAGGCCUGCCUCGUUUGUGGGUGGGUUGACGGUAGCUGGAUAAGAAGCGCCGGCUAACUACGUG
RNAcentral lists this ribosomal RNA (494 nucleotides) under uncultured bacterium. RNAcentral's name for it is "partial 16S ribosomal RNA". It matches the Rfam family "Bacterial small subunit ribosomal RNA", at positions 28 to 507 of the family's 1533-position model. The record is from RNAcentral.